This 253-nucleotide ribosomal RNA is filed under the name uncultured bacterium. RNAcentral describes it as "partial 16S ribosomal RNA". It matches the Rfam family "Bacterial small subunit ribosomal RNA", at positions 524 to 776 of the family's 1533-position model. The record is from RNAcentral.
UACGUAGGGUGCAGGCGUUAAUCGGAAUUACUGGGCGUAAAGCGUGCGCAGGCGGUUUCUUAAGUCAGAUGUGAAAGCCCCGGGCUUAACCUGGGAACUGCGUUUGAAACUGGGAGACUUGAGUGUGGCAGAGGGGGGUGGAAUUCCACGUGUAGCAGUGAAAUGCGUAGAUAUGUGGAGGAACACCGAUGGCGAAGGCAGCCCCGUGGGUUAACACUGACGCUCAUGCACGAAAGCGUGGGGAGCAAACAGG